GCCAGAGUAGCUCAGUGGUAGAGCAGCUGAUUCGUAAUCAGCAGGUCGGGAGUUCGAAACUCCCCUCUGGCUCCA
This 75-nucleotide transfer RNA is filed under the name Acidobacteriota bacterium. RNAcentral describes it as "Acidobacteria bacterium (wastewater metagenome) tRNA-Thr". It matches the Rfam family "tRNA". Rfam says of the family: Transfer RNA (tRNA) molecules are approximately 80 nucleotides in length. Their secondary structure includes four short double-helical elements and three loops (D, anti-codon, and T loops). The record is from RNAcentral. Lineage: Bacteria; Pseudomonadati; Acidobacteriota.